GGAAGUAGCUCAGCUUGGUAGAGCACAUGGUUUGGGACCAUGGGGUCGCAGGUUCGAAUCCUGUCUUCC
This 69-nucleotide transfer RNA is filed under the name Bacillus subtilis. RNAcentral describes it as "tRNA-Pro". It matches the Rfam family "tRNA". From Rfam's summary of the family: Transfer RNA (tRNA) molecules are approximately 80 nucleotides in length. The record is from RNAcentral. Lineage: Bacteria; Bacillati; Bacillota; Bacilli; Caryophanales; Bacillaceae.